CCUACGGGAGGCAGCAGUGGGGGAUAUUGCACAAUGGGGGAAACCCUGAUGCAGCGACGCCGCGUGGGUGAAGAAGCGCCUCGGCGCGUAAAGCCCUGUCAGCAGGGAAGAAAAUGACGGUACCUGAAGAAGAAGCCCCGGCUAACUACGUACCAGCAGCCGCGGUAAUACGUAGGGGGUAAGCGUUAGCCGGAUUUACGGGGUGUAAAGGGGGCGCAGACGGCGAUGCAAGCCAGGAGUGAAAGCCCGGGGCCCAACCCCGGGACUGCUCUUGGAACUGGGUGGCUAGAGUGCAGGAGGGGCAGGAGGAAUUCCUGGUGUAGCGGUGAAAUGCGUAGAUAUCAGGAGGAACACCGGUGGCGAAGGCGGCCUGCUGGACUGCAACUGACGUUGAGGCCCGAAAGCGUGGGGAGCAAACAGGAUUAGAUACCCUAGUAGUC
RNAcentral lists this ribosomal RNA (440 nucleotides) under uncultured bacterium. RNAcentral describes it as "partial 16S ribosomal RNA". It matches the Rfam family "Bacterial small subunit ribosomal RNA", at positions 338 to 795 of the family's 1533-position model. The record is from RNAcentral.